RNAcentral lists this non-coding RNA (45 nucleotides) under Schistosoma mattheei. The record is from RNAcentral. Lineage: Eukaryota; Metazoa; Platyhelminthes; Trematoda; Strigeidida; Schistosomatidae.
AUCCAGCUGACGAGUCCCGAGUAGGACGAAACACAUGUACUGGAU